UGAAGUGAACCCAUGCUUUUGUCCUUGUUACGUUUCAGUUUAUUUUCAUGCUGCUGUGGUUGUGUCCCCUGCACCACUAGUCAGCCUCACUUCACCUCACCUCACGUGGGUGAAUAGUUCAUCCUCCCAGCUGCGAUUGCACCAGCCUCUGCCCUGAUAGAAAUACACAGAAGAAGAAGUUGGAGUAUGUGACGCAACGCUCUAUUUCUUUUCUCUGUAAAAACCCAAAGCGCGAAAAGUACAGCAUUUCAUCAGCAUUUUGUUUCAACAGUCACACAUCCUUUUUACAUGUUGAAGUUGUCGUUAGUGAGAGAUUGGCAGACUUCUUUACAAGGGAAAGUGAGAAAUGUGUUUUAAAAGCACGCUCAUGUUGACUGCCAUGUUUCUCCUGAAGCAGUCAGGUGUUCAGUGUGGAGUGAGU
Clupea harengus (Atlantic herring) is the source of this 421-nucleotide long non-coding RNA. RefSeq lists it as uncharacterized. Lineage: Eukaryota; Metazoa; Chordata; Actinopteri; Clupeiformes; Clupeidae. The transcript has 3 exons. The record is from RefSeq and is a predicted model, not a curated record.